UAAAAUGUAGCAAAGGUUGAGCUACCUUUGGGAUAGCACACCUGGUUGUGUUAAACUUAUCCUACGUUGUACAAUUGCAGAAUUUCCAACCUGGUGAUACAAUUACCUUGGUCGGACCAAUGUGAUACCAGUUAGCGUUCAACCGAUUAUGGGGCUGAUUGACCUUUAACUCGACUUACCUCGGUUACCCUUCUUUAGCCACUCACGGGCGGCCCAUCUCGGAUUCCAUACCACCUCUCUCCUGUAAUAAGUACGUGGUAAGCUAAAUAUGAGACAGAUACGAAAGAGGUGGGUGGUAUAGGAAUCUGCGAUUUUAUGAUGUAAUAUAAGUAUGUAUUUGCACUCUUUAAGGCUCUAUAAGGCAAAUUUACUUCAAAAAAGAGGUUUCAUGCCUUAGCAAAAAGAAUCCUUAUGGCCAGGGAAGAAUUUUUACAUAUUGCGCAAAGUAUGUACAUCAGUAUCUAGAUAAAGGGUGUUAAUAAAGUC
Molecule: long non-coding RNA, 486 nt
Organism: Folsomia candida
Lineage: Eukaryota; Metazoa; Arthropoda; Collembola; Entomobryomorpha; Isotomidae
Exons: 3
Source: RefSeq, a predicted model, not a curated record